UGUUUGGUCUUCCCCCUGUGCGAGAACCUUAAAGGUUCCGUAUAGAACCCUAUUGUGGAGUUAAGAACUCUUAAUUAUCUAAGACCUACAACCUAUCAAAUCGAGCUAAAGCUGUCUUGUUCGAUCAUAUAUUCUUAGAAAAAAUGGCUGUUCAAGUGUUCUUUAAGGGUUUUUAGCCUACUAAAAGGGUUCUACUUGGAACCCUUUCUGUUAGAAAAUGUUAAAGUGUGUUGAAAUGUUAAAGGUUCCCAUGGAUGGACAACCAAAGAACCCGUAAGUAUACAACACAGCAGCUAAAACCAGCUCAGGUUUCUCAGGUGGUCACAUGUCUAACAUUCCUGAAAAAGUUUGUGUCCUAAGUUUGUGAACAGCUUCCUGUGGUGGAAAUGUACAGUCCAUGAAACGUUUCCUGAAAUGUUUACUGGGAUUCCUGAGUUCCUGAAAGGGUUCCUAGGGUUCCUGAAUCCCUGAAAAGUUUUGAGGGACUCCUGAGUUUCUAAAAAGGUUCGUAGGGUUCCCGAGUUCCUGAUAAGGUUUCUAUGAUUCCUGAGCUCAUGGGAAGGUUUCUAAGUUCUUUAAAACAUGUUAACAGUGGAAAAUGCUUUUGCUUUCCCCUUUUCUUCUUUCAGCACCCCUCUGUUCCCAGUAUCAUUCCUGUCCAGCGAAGUAUCUAGCUACCAUUUUGGUCUUAAAGCUGCCACUCUGACAUGCACCCGUGUGAAGGUUGAACACAUGCGAUGCUGAAGGAUUUGCUGAUGUACGUAAACAAAGGCCUGACAUGUCCCUGCUUUCACACAAAUCAAUUUUCCCUGUCACAACCGCUUAAGGAGCAGAGGCAUAACAAGUUCCUGCUCAAGACGUCUUGUAAUGCAAGAACAAGGGAAAAAUAUGACUGGAAUGAAAAUGUGUUUUCAACAUUUUGUGUUCUUCUUCUGUUGGUAGAGUACUCGAGUAUGGUUCAUCGCACUGAGUGCAGUAAUCAGCGUUGCCCAAACAUUUAGAGGGCAAUUAAGGGAACGCAAAGCACAGCUCUCUACCCAUAAAUGUUAUAAGAUCUCUCUAUAUCUUUGCCUCCCUAGUGAGUGUGUGGUAAUGUUCUCACCGUCUGGUCCUUCGCCCCCCCCCCCCCCC
Ictalurus punctatus (channel catfish) is the source of this 1131-nucleotide long non-coding RNA. NCBI's taxonomy places the organism in Eukaryota, Metazoa, Chordata, Actinopteri, Siluriformes, Ictaluridae. The record is from Ensembl.